AGUAGCGGGAGCCCGGCCCCCGUGUGCGGCCCUCGGGCGCGCACAUGAGGAAAGUCCCCCCACCAGUCGGGCAGGCGACCGGGCACAAGCCCGGGGCGGGAGACCGUCGGCCCUGGAACAGAGACGACACGUCUCCGUCCGACCGAUGCGGUGUGCGAACCCGCGGCGAGAAGGCCGUGGGGAGUGAACCCACCGAGGAAUGAGGGCGGAGGAGCGAUGGAACGGCCACCCUCGCCGGUGCAAGUCCGCGCACAGGAAGGUAGCCCGGCGUCCCGCGCGGACGCUCAGCCGAAUGCCGGAAGAACAGAAGGGGGCUUACUCCCCGCAACU
Molecule: RNase P RNA, 330 nt
Filed under: Halarchaeum sp. CBA1220
Lineage: Archaea; Methanobacteriati; Methanobacteriota; Halobacteria; Halobacteriales; Halobacteriaceae
Description: Archaeal RNase P
Rfam family: Archaeal RNase P
About the family: Ribonuclease P (RNase P) is a ubiquitous endoribonuclease, found in archaea, bacteria and eukarya as well as chloroplasts and mitochondria. Its best characterised activity is the generation of mature 5'-ends of tRNAs by cleaving the 5'-leader elements of precursor-tRNAs. Cellular RNase Ps are ribonucleoproteins.
Source: Rfam by way of RNAcentral